UCCUUGCUUUAGAAAAGGUGGGGUGGGCAAGGAGGGAGGGAGGAUAGUUUUGCUUCCUGGGACCCAAAGGAGCUUUUUCAUGUCUUCCUGUUUUUUAGCUACUCAUUUAGAGUUCCUGUCUAGGAAGCAGGACUUGGUUCAAGUAUGCUAGUGUAAGGUAGACCUGAGAAGUCUCUGGGGAGAACUGGGUACAUUGUUUCUCUUUGGUAUCAGCUUUUGGGAAUCAAAAUAUUUCCUUCUUUCCUAUCUUUCCUUUCUCUGUUCUCUUCUUUCCUGUAUUCUCCUGCUAUUGCCACUUGUUCCUUUAAGGAGUACUGUGGCAGCCAGCCUCCAAGAUGACCUCAGUGAUCCUUAUCUCCUGGCAUUCACACCCUUAGUAGUUCCCCUCCCUCACUGAAUCAAAGAUAUCCCUGUGUAACUAAUAGAAGAGGUACAUGUGUGUAGGAACUGAGGCUCUUAGCCAAAAUCCAGUGCCCAACUUGCCAGUCAUGAGAAUGAGCUGUCUUAGAAGUGAAUCUAUAGAAGUGAAUCUACUAGCACCAGUCAGGCCAUCAGAUGACUGCAGCCCUAGUGGACAUGUGACCUCAACCUUAGGAGAGACUUUCGGACAGACUAGCGAGCUGAGCCACUCUCAAAUUUGUGACUCACAGGAACUGUGAGGGAUAACAAAUGAUUAUUGAUGUUUUAAGCCACAAGUUUUGGAAUGAUUUGUUAUACAGCAUUAGAUAACCUGACCAAGUACCAUUGUUGGUCUGUUGGAAAGGACAAUUUCUUUGCUUGCUUUUUUUCAUUAGUCACCAGCUGUAUUCAAAGACCUUUUACCUUCUAAGGUAAUGCUACUAGGAAGCUUGGAUUAGCUGCAGGUAAUAUUGAAAUAUGUGGUGAUUGCUUUGAGGGAAUAAUGUGGUGGGGGGGGGAGUGCCGAUGUGGCAGUUCAUUGUAGUGUUGAUACGUUGAAUAUGCCUGGCUCUAGGAUUGUAACUUUUCCCUACAGGGUUAAGUUAUAGAGUGUGUGAUUUUUGGGAUACAUACGCAUGUUGCUCUGGGAACAGCUUUCAAUAGUAAGGAGGAGGGAAAGAAGGGGACCUCAGCAUUGGGCACUUGGGAGGUAGGGAGGAGUGUGGUCCAUUCAAAGAUAAACAGGUUCAUUUGUUGUGGUUGGUUUUUCUGUCUUUAGAAGGGUAGAUUAUUUUACAUAAGCCAGAUACCACAGCCUCUUUAGUUUUCCCUUUCUCCUCUCCUCUUUCCCAUACUCCCUUAAAACACUGAUUUGCCUUUGGGGCAUUGGAAUGAAGCCUACUGAGGGCUGGGAACACAGGAGCUGGAUAAAGAGAAUAUCCUAAAGAAAGGUCCCUUGGGUGAAAGGGAAUGCAGCUUGGGAGCUGCUCAAGCCACAUUUACUUCCUCUGCCUCUUGCUCCUGCCUGUACGGUAGAGUCUUCUUCCCUGCCUCUCCAAACUACUGGGGUUUCUCUGGUGUGGUAGGGGUAGCUGGGUGGUGCGUUGUGGGAAUUUUGGUUAUGUAGAUGGUUAGAUUUGGUUAUGUAGAUUCCCAACCUUCCCAGGUUGGAAAUCGGGGAUCCGAAUCUUAAUAUGUUAUAUUUAUUUCUACUACUCGGUGGAUAUAGGUUUCAGUCACUGAGUAAGCCCUAGUGGGACAUGAGACUGAAAUCUAACACAUCUCUGUCACGUAUGAUUCAUCCCUCUUCUGAUCACUCAUAAUUGCUUGGCACCUCCAUUAUGGCAUUUAAUGCUUUCCAGCAUAUGCUUAUGUAUGUGUAUUUUCUUACCUUUUCAGUUAGAUUAUAAGCUCAGAUAAUUAUGUAGCUCUGUUUCCUUGUCCUGCAGAGGGUCCUGCCAAUAUUCCUGAAGGUGAAGCCUGAAUCAUGUCUCAGUUUGGUCUGUCAAUGUCACCUUUCAUCUCUCUUUCAAGGGCAUUAUUUUUGCUUUUUUAUUUAUUUAUUUAUCACAAUGCUGAAGACAUCAUGCAGUACAGAUUUAAACAGCUUGUGUCACCAGCUUCCUUCCCAGACUUAGGCACCAAGACCUUCCAGACCCAGGCUGAGUUAGGGCUUCACAUUGUUUACCAGGAUCGGGGCCUGAUUAAAGAUUAUCUCCAGAAUCAAUGAACCCUGAUGAUGUGAUUCCAAGGGCACUUAAGGAAUUGGCUGCCCUGGUUCAUUAUUAGCAAAGCAUUAGCUGUUGCUUUAGAGAACUCGGGAAGAAGCAUUUGCUGUCUUGCUUAUCUUUAAAAGAGGAAUACGAAUGAUCUUGGAAAUUAUAGACCCGUUAGUUUACUGUGAUUCCAGAAAAGAUACUUGACCUGAUCGUCAGAUAAUCAAUCAGCAAACAGCUAGAAGAGUGUGGGGCACUGAGUAAUAACUUACAUGGGUUUGUGAAGAAGAGCAAAUCCUGUCAGAUCAAUCUAACUUCUUGCUGUGACAUAGUGAUGGAUUUGAGUGGAUCUAGGGCAAGUGAUAAAUGUAAUGCAUCUUGACUUCAUUAAACCUCUACAAUGCUGUGAUCAACAGUUGGGAAGGACAAAAAAGAAAGAAUUUUAAAUGGAAGCAGGAAAGGUUGAGAUUUGGGAUGAGAAUGAACUGCCAGAAGAGACAG
This is a long non-coding RNA of Cebus imitator (Panamanian white-faced capuchin), 2615 nucleotides long. RefSeq lists it as uncharacterized. The transcript is spliced from 2 exons. NCBI's taxonomy places the organism in Eukaryota, Metazoa, Chordata, Mammalia, Primates, Cebidae. The record is from RefSeq and is a predicted model, not a curated record.